GACGAACGCUGGCGGCGUGCUUAACACAUGCCAGUCGAACGGAAAGGCCCUGCAUUUGUGGGGUGCUCGAGUGGCGAACGGGUGAGUAACACGUGAGUAACCUGCCCUUGACUUUGGGAUAACUUCAGGAAACUGGGGCUAAUACCGGAUAGGAGCUCCUGCUGCAUGGUGGGGGUUGGAAAGUUUCGGCGGUUGGGGAUGGACUCGCGGCUUAUCAGCUUGUUGGUGGGGUAGUGGCUUACCAAGGCUUUGACGGGUAGCCGGCCUGAGAGGGUGACCGGCCACAUUGGGACUGAGAUACGGCCCAGACUCCUACGGGAGGCAGCAGUGGGGAAUAUUGCACAAUGGGCGGAAGCCUGAUGCAGCAACGCCGCGUGCGGGAUGACGGCCUUCGGGUUGUAAACCGCUUUCGCCUGUGACGAAGCGUGAGUGACGGUAAUGGGUAAAGAAGCACCGGCUAACUACGUG
This 468-nucleotide ribosomal RNA is filed under the name uncultured bacterium. RNAcentral describes it as "partial 16S ribosomal RNA". It matches the Rfam family "Bacterial small subunit ribosomal RNA", at positions 28 to 507 of the family's 1533-position model. The record is from RNAcentral.